UGAGAAUCCAUUGUGCUCUCUCUGGCAAUCUUGGGGGUAGGGAGCCAUCAAUUUCUUGUUUCACUUUUAUUACUUUUGGAAAGAGGAAGCGUUGUCUGUGUUUUUUGUGGUGCUAUAAAAUCAAAUUCAUAUUGCCCUGAGCCCCUACUAGAGGCUACACGGCGAAGUAGAGGUGCAGCUGGGGACACUGAAGAGCACUAGCUAUGGAUAGGAGUGGUUGAAAAAGCAACUGGAAACCACAGUGGAAUUGCUAACACAAGGUGGCUUGGCAUCAGUUACCUGGUGAAUGCUUGAGACCCGGAACAGGCCUUCUGAGUGACUUCAACAGCAAUAAUUCAGAAUACACUCCAUGCUUCAGUAAUGCAGAUCUGAAGGAAGCGGGAACUCAGACCGACCGACUGAUUUGAGGCUGUGUGGUUCAGUCCAAAAUUUAGCCGUGCAUGGAAUUUCAUUAAACAUGGAGCGCAUGGUUUUGAUACAAUCCCCACUUUGUCCUCCACCCACACCACUGCUUUCUAAAUGAGUUUGGUUGAGAGCAAUCUAUUAAUCCUUCAACGAUGAGAAAGAAAAGCAAUGGAAAAUCUGGCAAAAUGAAUUGUAUAUGAGUCAAUGCUUGGACUCCUGGAAGUGGAAGACGUGCAGAAAGAAAAAACCCGUCUUUCAGCAAAUUGAGAGCAUUGAUUGAGCUCUGCAAGGAAGAAUUUCUUUUUAAUUUUUCUUUUUUGAUAGAUGUCGGAGAUAUUGAAGUAAAGACAAUAAAUAAAUAACAUUGAGCAAGGAAUCAUUUCUACCAAUGGCGGCAUUAAAACUUUUACUGUGACUGCGUGUGGAAUAGGUAUGAGGGACUCUCUAAGGAGAUUAGCUAAGGAUGACAGAAGCCCUGGUUUGCGAUGAUGUAUAUACAGUUUACCAACACCCUUAGCCAAUACUGUGUGCAUAACCAGUGCCCGCCAAAGCCAAAGCACCCUGGGACUCGCUGUUGUGCAGGUGACAGUUCCAGGUGCCAGGCACCACUGGCACACCCUUAGCCUGCAAUGGCUGAAGGCAAUGGCUCUCUCAGGUCCCAUGGGGACCUUUCUCUCCGUUGUCAUGGCUGUCACAGCUACACCUCCUCUCUGUCCCCUGCGGUUGGAGCUGGAAUGCUCUUGUUGACAUACCAGAGCUUUGCCCCUAACUGGAAAAACUUCUGUGCGUCUGAGCGCAGUCACAUCAAGUUUCUAAUUCCACGUCUGGUUUCAUUAACUGUAUUCCAAUUACUCUAGGGACUGCUUUCCCUAAUUUACUCCUACUCGGCUCUGUGCAACGGCUAGAACUUCUCUUAGGUACUUCCGCAUCGGGACGCUCUUUGUGUCUUCUUUCU
RNAcentral lists this long non-coding RNA (1360 nucleotides) under Equus caballus (horse). Its description in RNAcentral is "lncRNA (ENSECAG00000057251.1)". Lineage: Eukaryota; Metazoa; Chordata; Mammalia; Perissodactyla; Equidae. The record is from RNAcentral.